This is a long non-coding RNA of Saccostrea cuccullata (small rock oyster), 398 nucleotides long. RefSeq lists it as uncharacterized. The record is from RefSeq and is a predicted model, not a curated record. The transcript has 3 exons. NCBI's taxonomy places the organism in Eukaryota, Metazoa, Mollusca, Bivalvia, Ostreida, Ostreidae.
AAGUUCGGAAGAGAGUGUCUCGAAAAGGAGAAUCAUGACUAGCUUUGGAUGGAAUUUCUGUUUUGACAGAAGAUGAAGACAUUUUACGACCCGGUACUGCGUUGCAUGCAGUGGACUGUGCCCGAGACGAUUCCCACAGCGCCGGCACAUUGUCAGCUUGUAAAAAUGAAAUUGUGCCAGCAAAGUUUGAAGUGUCUAUGGAAAUGAUCAAUAUUGAACUUUCUGAACCUUCCUACUUAAAGUGAAUCCGUUCGUGACUGACAUGACCAUUUAUUUGGCUACCCUCUAACAAUUCACAACGCCAUAUUUUAUUUGUUUAUUAUUGUGAAUUUCAUGGGAUAUCAGUGAGGAAGUGAUUCAAGCAGAUACUUGAGAAAUUUCGGAUCUAACUUAAUUAG